CUUGAGCACUGUAGCUGAACAAUGGGAAUUUAAAGAAAAAGUCUGAAUCUGGGAGGCAGAGGUUGCAGUGAGCCAAGGUCACGCCACUACACUCCAGCCUGCCCAACAGCACAAGACUCAUUCCAGCAUGUGUAAGUAUACACAAAGCACAUCUCAUUUUGGACUAGUCACAUUUCAAGUGCUCAAAAGCCACACGUGGCUAGUGGCUACCAUAAUGAACAGUGCAGAUGUAAAGCAGAGGUUGGCAAAUGUUUUCCGUAAAGGGCAAGAUAGUAAAUAUUUUAGGCCCUGCAGACCCAGAGGCAAAAUCAAAGAUAUUCUGUAGGUACUUAAAUAGCACUGUUUGCCUAGGGCGGGCUGCCCAGGGUUGUGGCUUUGCACC
Molecule: long non-coding RNA, 382 nt
Filed under: Homo sapiens (human)
Lineage: Eukaryota; Metazoa; Chordata; Mammalia; Primates; Hominidae
Description: non-protein coding lnc-DHFR-6:1
Source: RNAcentral